RNAcentral lists this ribosomal RNA (217 nucleotides) under uncultured bacterium. RNAcentral's name for it is "partial 16S ribosomal RNA". It matches the Rfam family "Bacterial small subunit ribosomal RNA", at positions 1283 to 1500 of the family's 1533-position model. The record is from RNAcentral.
CCAUCCCAGUUCGGAUGCAGGCUGCAACCCGCCUGCGUGAAGUUGGAAUCGCUAGUAAUCGCGGAUCAGCAUGCCGCGGUGAAUACGUUCCCGGGCCUUGUACACACCGCCCGUCACACCAUGAGAGUUUGUAACACCCAAAGCCGGUGGGGUAACCUUUUGGAGCCAGCCGUCUAAGGUGGGACAGAUGAUUGGGGUGAAGUCGUAACAAGGUAGC